This 790-nucleotide long non-coding RNA is filed under the name Carica papaya (papaya). RNAcentral describes it as "long non-coding RNA (CPAP_LNC011112)". Lineage: Eukaryota; Viridiplantae; Streptophyta; Magnoliopsida; Brassicales; Caricaceae. The record is from RNAcentral.
UUCCAACAAGAUAAAAUGCUCCUAGGUUUACAUACGCUCCAAUCUUCUGCCAUCCACUCCCUCUUGCAACUCCUGGAAUUAAAAUUAAUUAUAUACAAAUCACCAUUUCAUUUUUACGCCUUAGAUUUACUUUUACUCUGUUUCAGAUGCCAUGUUGGUCAGAAUUCUAAAGUUGAAUCAAGGGUUUUCAAGGGACUACAAAAAUAAGAAACAGAGUUCAAAUGGGUAAUGAUUUUUUUCUACUGGGUCUUGAAAUUUACUCAAAAAAGUUACCUCUACUCUGCUUUUUUUUCUUUUUACUCUGCUUCAGAUGACAUGUUUUGGUGCAGGAUCCCAAAGUUGAAGGAAGGCUUUUUAAGGGAUAAGAAUAUAAGAAACAGAGCUAAAAUGGGUAAUAUAUAUAUAUAUAUAUAUAUACAUAUUUCAAACUACUAGGUCUUGAAAUUUACCCAACAUAUUUACAUCUACUCUGUUUUUUAACUCUGUUUCAGAUGACAUGUUGGUCAAUAUCCCAAAGUUGAAGGGAGGGUUUUUAAAAGGGAUAAGAAAAACGAGAAACAGAGUUCAAAUGGGUAUUUUUUUUCUUCUACCAGUUCCCGAAAUUUACCCAACAAAUUUACAUCUACUCUAUAUAUUUUCCUUUUUACUCUGUUUCAGAUUACAUUCUGGGGAGAGAGUUCCAAGAUUGAAAGAAGAUUCGAGUAAAGAUUUUUCAAUCUAGAUUUUUCUUUUCAAAACUAUGGGUCAAUUGAAUAUAAAAUUUCCAAUGAAUGUUGUCGUGUGUGUGUGU